This 484-nucleotide ribosomal RNA is filed under the name uncultured bacterium. Its description in RNAcentral is "partial 16S ribosomal RNA". It matches the Rfam family "Bacterial small subunit ribosomal RNA", at positions 30 to 507 of the family's 1533-position model. The record is from RNAcentral.
AUUGAACGCUGGCGGCAGGCCUAACACAUGCAAGUCGAGCGGAUGAAGGGAGCUUGCUCCUGGAUUCAGCGGCGGACGGGUGAGUAAUGCCUAGGAAUCUGCCUGGUAGUGGGGGAUAACGUCCGGAAACGGGCGCUAAUACCGCCUACGUCCUGCGGGAGAAAGUGGGGGAUCUUCGGACCUCACGCUAUCAGAUGAGCCUAGGUCGGAUUAGCUAGUUGGUGGGGUAAAGGCCUACCAAGGCGACGAUCCGUAACUGGUCUGAGAGGAUGAUCAGUCACACUGGAACUGGGACACGGUCCAUACUCCUACGGGAGGCAGCAGUGGGGAAUAUUGGACAGAGGGCGAAAGCCUGAUCCAGCCAGGCCGCGUGUGUGAAGAAGGUCUUCGGAUUGUAAAGCACUUUAAGGUGGGAGGAAGGGCAGUAAGUUAAUACCUUGCUGUUUUGACGGUACCAACAGAAGAAGCACCGGCUAACUUCGUG